GUAGGUGGCAAGCGUUGUCCGGAAUUAUUGGGCGUAAAGCGCGCGCAGGUGGUCUUUAAGUCUGAUGUGAAAGCCCCCGGGCUCAACCGGGGAGGGUCAUUGGAAACUGGGGAACUUGAGUGCAGGGGAGGAAAGUGGAAUUCCACGUGUAGCGGUGAAAUGCGUAGAUAUGUGGAGGAACACCAGUGGCGAAGGCGACUUUCUGGCCUGUAACUGACACUGAGGCGCGAAAGCGUGGGGAGCAAACAGGAUUAGACACCCUGGUAGUCCACGCCGUAAACGAUGAGUGCUAAGUGUUGGGGGGUUUCCGCCCCUCAGUGCUGCAGCUAACGCAUUAAGCACUCCGCCUGGGGAGUACGGUCGCAAAGACUGA
RNAcentral lists this ribosomal RNA (373 nucleotides) under uncultured organism. Its description in RNAcentral is "partial 16S ribosomal RNA". It matches the Rfam family "Bacterial small subunit ribosomal RNA", at positions 527 to 897 of the family's 1533-position model. The record is from RNAcentral.